This 480-nucleotide long non-coding RNA is filed under the name Homo sapiens (human). Its description in RNAcentral is "HSALNT0382974". The record is from RNAcentral. Lineage: Eukaryota; Metazoa; Chordata; Mammalia; Primates; Hominidae.
GGGGAAGGCCGUUUCCGCCCCUGCCCGGGGUGGGCAGCCCAGUCAGGGGGGCUCUUACCGGAAGCCUCUUUCUCCCCAGCAGCCACGACACGCACAGCCGGGCUCGGCGGCUGCGGCUCCGGGGACCGGGCAGCCGCGACGGAGGGUCCGGCGGGCUGUGGGCAGGAAGACGGCAGCCACUCUUUCCUCUAGGCCUCGCGUCCACUCUCUGAGACAUCUGGAGCGGAGUGCGGGUGCGGGCAGCCAGCUCCUCCACCCACUCCCUGGCUCUGGUCGCUCACCUCUCCUCCGGCGGGCCCUCCUACUAGUCAGUGCUGCUAGCUGCUGGCGAGUUCGUGACUGCGAAGAGGGCGCCGAUCGCAGCUAGCCACGCUUCCAGCCACCCGCUUGGCUACCGCAGGGGCAGGCGACGGGAGCGACCCUCUGCCUGCUCAGAGCUGGAUCUCCGGAAAUGGAGAACCGUGAGGUUCUCACCUGCGA